CGCACUCGACCUCGCACCCAAUUAAAAAGGAAAAUUACAAGACAGCAAAGGAAAAGAAACAACUUACGCCUAAGGACAAAGAAAAACUAGCCGUCUAAUAAAAAAAAUAAUAAAUGACGUUAAGUCUACCAAGCCCUCCAUGAUCCAACAUCUUGCCUCCUCGAUCACUUCCUUGAUCAUGCCUGCUGCUGCUUGCCUCCUCGAUCACUUCCUUGAUCAUGCCUGCUGCUGCUGUCCCGGGCCCUUGACUUUGAACACCUUAUCAUUCCUCUGUAGCCAUAACUUCCAAACCAUAAGUAUGACUAGAGCAUCAAAACCUUUUCGAACUCUCCUUUAGCGACCGAUUUUCAAACUUGCAACCACUAGUCAAAAAGCUCCGCCCCUCGAGCAGGCAUGAGCAUCUGGUGUCCUGAUCCACGUAAUAGCUUGAAUCAGCACUCUCUACUGAAGGCACAAUCAAGCAAGAUCCGACGUUCUACACCUCUUGUAGACUACUAAUUAACCAGAAGAAGAAUUUGCACUGCAAUCAGGUGCACGUAUUGUUUUCCCUCCUGGUAGGUAUGUGUGACCAUGGAAGAAAGCGUGGUAACUACAACUAGCAGAGUAAUAUCUAUUGGAUGACCAUUUCCAAAUGAAGCAAUCCGGC
This 646-nucleotide long non-coding RNA is filed under the name Setaria italica (foxtail millet). Its description in RNAcentral is "long non-coding RNA (SITA_LNC002032)". The record is from RNAcentral. Lineage: Eukaryota; Viridiplantae; Streptophyta; Magnoliopsida; Poales; Poaceae.